This 201-nucleotide long non-coding RNA is filed under the name Musa acuminata (dwarf banana). RNAcentral's name for it is "long non-coding RNA (MACU_LNC005261)". The record is from RNAcentral. Lineage: Eukaryota; Viridiplantae; Streptophyta; Magnoliopsida; Zingiberales; Musaceae.
UGUUGAUCCGCUUCAGACCAACCGAUUACGAGAAUAUUGACGGACAACUAGCAAAGAUCCGACAAACCUCCACCAUUCAGGAGUACCAAAUCAGGUUUGAAAGGUUAUCUAAUCAAACUCAUGAUUGGUCUCAAAAACAGCUAUUGAGGGCCUUCAUCGAGGGCUUGAAGCCGGAGAUCCGAGGAGAAGUUAAAGCGCGAC